UACGUAGGUGGCGAGCGUUGUCCGGAUUUACUGGGCGUAAAGAGCGCGCAGGCGGUCGUUCAAGUCGCGUGUGAAAGCCCCCGGCUCAACUGGGGAGGGUCACGCGAUACUGAUCGACUCGAAGGCAGGAGAGGGUAGUGGAAUUCCCGGUGUAGUGGUGAAAUGCGUAGAUAUCGGGAGGAACACCAGCGGCGAAGGCGACUAACUGGUCAGAUACUGACGCUGAGGCACGAAAGCGUGGGGAGCAAACAGG
This 253-nucleotide ribosomal RNA is filed under the name uncultured bacterium. Its description in RNAcentral is "partial 16S ribosomal RNA". It matches the Rfam family "Bacterial small subunit ribosomal RNA", at positions 524 to 776 of the family's 1533-position model. The record is from RNAcentral.